CUGGCUCAGGAUGAACGCUAGCUACAGGCUUAACACAUGCAAGUCGAGGGGCAGCAUGACGGUAGCUUGCUACUGUGAUGGCGACCGGCGCACGGGUGAGUAACGCGUAUCCAACCUUCCCACAAAUAGGGAAUAGCCCGGUGAAAAUCGAAUUAAUACCUUAUGUGGUCAUAAGAAGACAUCUGAUUAUGAUUAAAGAUUUAUCGUUUGUGGAUGGGGGAUGCGUCUGAUUAGGUAGACGGCGGGGUAACGGCCCACCGUGCCGACGAUCAGUAGGGGUUCUGAGAGGAAGGUCCCCCACAUUGGAACUGAGACACGGUCCAAACUCCUACGGGAGGCAGCAGUGAGGAAUAUUGGUCAAUGGGCGAGAGCCUGAACCAGCCAAGUAGCGUGCCAGGAUGACGGCCCUAUGGGUUGUAAACUGCUUUUAUGCGGGAAUAAAACGAGGGACGUGUCCUUCUUUGCAGGUACCGCAUGAAUAAGGAGCGGCUAAUUCCGUGCCAGCCGCGGC
This 511-nucleotide ribosomal RNA is filed under the name uncultured bacterium. RNAcentral's name for it is "bacterial SSU rRNA". It matches the Rfam family "Bacterial small subunit ribosomal RNA", at positions 19 to 518 of the family's 1533-position model. The record is from RNAcentral.